Long non-coding RNA from Rhea pennata, 2359 nucleotides. RefSeq lists it as uncharacterized. The record is from RefSeq and is a predicted model, not a curated record. NCBI's taxonomy places the organism in Eukaryota, Metazoa, Chordata, Aves, Rheiformes, Rheidae. The transcript is spliced from 3 exons.
GACCUCCCGCCCCCGCGGCCGGCGCCGCAGCUCGCCCUCCGCGCGGGCCGCCGCGCGCUCGCUACCAAUCUUGCGAUCGAUCAGAAGUCAUCUCUGCCGAUAAAGGCGGCGAUCUGGAGCGAUGGCAAGCAAUUUGUGGAAGGUCGGGGCUGGGCUUUUAUUCGCGCGACCUCUGCUUUCGAGCGGCAGCACGGUUCCUCACAACCAUUAGAAGCAGGCCGAUUCCAGGCAGCCUUACUCAAGUGAGAAAUUUACCUUACUUCUGAAGGCAUUUUCAAAAGAUACGGAAUAGGAUACAUUUGGAAAUGACAGCAAGGGAGAUAUAUAAAACUGCAUCUCUGUACGGAUGUACUAAAUCUUACAGAACUGAGCAACAUAUUUGUAAAGCAAUGCAAAGAGACUUAAAAUUGAAGGAAUUACAUUAUGUAAUAGAAAAUAUUUUUUGCUAAACUAACUGUGCUUUUCAAACAACAAACUACCACUAUUUUCCUACUGAAAAUGGUUUGUUUUUAUCAAAAUAAUCUACUUCUCUAAAUUAAGUUGCUUUUACAGUAAGCAUUCAUUGUUCAAGUUUUGUUGUAUGGCAUAUGCAAAAAUACUAGAUUUCUUGAAUUUGUUGAAAAUUUGGUAUUUGAGAAAGGGUAAGAAAUCUUGUGAAAAGAAUAGCCUCUCUCCCAAGCAAAGAAUUCCCAAAUCUGAAAUUGUCAAUUUUUCACAAUUGCUCUCUCAAUCUCAUUUUUUGCCAAUUAUCAGAUAACUAUUUCUGAUCUAAAUAACUAUCAUGUUUAAAAUAAAACAUUUUUCAAAGUUUUCUGCCUUAGCAAUAUACCACCAUUUUCAGUGUGUGAGUCAACUCUUUUUCCCCACAGUGGACAUAUUCUUUAAACCACUAUAAACUGAAAGCAGAUUUUUGGUGUUUUGCUUGUCUGUUUUUAAGUACGGUUUUCCCUAAUCGAUUGACUUGAUUUUUUGAAACUACUGGACUUUUAUAUCUCAUUUUAUGAGAAAUAUUUACCAUUUACUGGUGUGUAGAAUGUUAGAUGUUUACAUGUUUUGACCUAAAUACUUGUAUUAAGGCUUCUAGAGUAGUAGAAGGGGCUUAGUGUUUUUGUUUAUUUCUUAGGCAAAAUAUCCUUUCACAUAGAGGACACAUUCACUUUUUCUCGUAUUUUCAAAUAAAACUUUUUGCAAUAAAAAUUCUAAUAAACACUUCUAAUAAAAAUAUUUGGAAAAAAAUCUUCUGUCCUAAGAAAUACAAGCAACAUUGCUUGGAAAAUCUUCUGUGCACAACGGCAAAUAGUUUAGAGUGAAGUGGCCAUUAGGAAAAAACUUUCCAAGUCCUCUUCAGAUUUCGCACAAGGAAGUCAUUUGAACUUCCUAAACGGGAGGCUGGGAUCCCCUUCUGGGGUGGGAGAGGAGAAAGCGACAGAGCCCAGGAAAAAAAAGCUGAAGGACAUUCACCUGCGUGCAUGUUCAUUCGGUUAACCUUUACGUGACAAAAACAGAAAGAGUCCAAUCUGUGGCAAAAUGCUUCAGCAAAAAGCAACGGUUACAUUAGCAGAGGACCAUAUACCACUACCUACCACCAGCUCCUUCUGACUCCUAAUCAUUUGGAUGGUGAAAGAGGGAGAAAAGUUACUGCUUGAGCUAGCAUACAAUUGGCUUUGUAAAAACAGGGACCAAAAACUUCAGUGUUCUGACAACAGCAUAUCUAAAACAUUUGAAUUUUACUCCUGCAUAUAAUCAUAGCAGGCAAAAUACUAUCUGGAACAAACAUUUUCGUGAGGUGAAAUGCACAUUAAAAUCACUGGGAAGAGUAGCGCUUCAACAGCCACAUGCGAAUGGCAGAAUCUAGGCAUUACUUGUAGCAAGACACAGGAAGAAAUUACAUUUUACAAACACAGGAUGCAGCAGCACUGAGCCCAGCUCCUAGGAUGCUCCAUGAUCUGAGGUUGCCUUUCAAACUAUUUAAAACAGAGGCACGAACUGUCCGAAGGGUUAGGGUGCAGCUGCUGUGCCAGGAAGCUUACAAGAAAAAGUAAAAAGUAAAAUUAAAGAAUAUAUUUCUGGCAAAGAAAUAUAAUGGUUAUCCUUUGUUUCUUAGGCUUCAAGUUAACUGUACUUUAGUAUGUAUCCUUUAAAAACAGGUUUCUAUUCUCUUAACGAAGCUUUGGUCCGUUUGGAGGGAGAAAGCUCACGGAUGUUAUGGAAUUCAUUCUAAAAAAAGAGUGUGCAGCUGGCGCUGAAAUAUCUACCAAAUCCUGUGCUGUACUUAACAUGUCUGUUAGCAGAUUAAAUCAUAAUACAAACACAAAGUGAUUAAAAACUAACAUUUGAAGCCUUUUCUUCUUUUCCCUUU